Molecule: ribosomal RNA, 646 nt
Filed under: Listeria monocytogenes
Lineage: Bacteria; Bacillati; Bacillota; Bacilli; Caryophanales; Listeriaceae
Description: bacterial SSU rRNA
Rfam family: Bacterial small subunit ribosomal RNA
Source: RNAcentral
UUUAAAGAGAGUUUGAUCCUGGCUCAGGACGAACGCUGGCGGCGUGCCUAAUACAUGCAAGUCGAACGAACGGAGGAAGAGCUUGCUCUUCCAAAGUUAGUGGCGGACGGGUGAGUAACACGUGGGCAACCUGCCUGUAAGUUGGGGAUAACUCCGGGAAACCGGGGCUAAUACCGAAUGAUAAAGUGUGGCGCAUGCCACGCUUUUGAAAGAUGGUUUCGGCUAUCGCUUACAGAUGGGCCCGCGGUGCAUUAGCUAGUUGGUAGGGUAAUGGCCUACCAAGGCAACGAUGCAUAGCCGACCUGAGAGGGUGAUCGGCCACACUGGGACUGAGACACGGCCCAGACUCCUACGGGAGGCAGCAGUAGGGAAUCUUCCGCAAUGGACGAAAGUCUGACGGAGCAACGCCGCGUGUAUGAAGAAGGUUUUCGGAUCGUAAAGUACUGUUGUUAGAGAAGAACAAGGAUAAGAGUAACUGCUUGUCCCUUGACGGUAUCUAACCAGAAAGCCACGGCUAACUACGUGCCAGCAGCCGCGGUAAUACGUAGGUGGCAAGCGUUGUCCGGAUUUAUUGGGCGUAAAGCGCGCGCAGGCGGUCUUUUAAGUCUGAUGUGAAAGCCCCCGGCUUAACCGGGGAGGGUCAUUG